ACGAACGCUGGCGGCGUGCCUAACACAUGCAAGUCGAACGAGGUCCAUGCAGUGGCAACACUGCGGAAGACCUAGUGGCGAACGGGUGAGUAACACGUGAGGAACUUGCCCCGGAGACCGGGAUAACCCUCCGAAAGGAGAGCUAAUACCGGAUGUGCUCACUGAGUCGCAUGGCUCGGUGAGGAAAUGGCUUCCGCUCCGGGAGAGCCUCGCGGCCUAUCAGCUUGUUGGCGGGGUAACGGCCCACCAAGGCAUCGACGGGUAGCUGGUCUGAGAGGACGAUCAGCCACACUGGGACUGAGACACGGCCCAGACUCCUACGGGAGGCAGCAGUGGGGAAUCUUGCGCAAUGGGCGAAAGCCUGACGCAGCAACGCCGCGUGCGGGAUGACGGCCCUCGGGUUGUAAACCGCUUUCAGUGGGGACGAAACAAGACGGUACCCACAGAAGAAGCCCCGGCCAACUACGU
RNAcentral lists this ribosomal RNA (468 nucleotides) under uncultured bacterium. Its description in RNAcentral is "bacterial SSU rRNA". It matches the Rfam family "Bacterial small subunit ribosomal RNA", at positions 29 to 506 of the family's 1533-position model. The record is from RNAcentral.